RNAcentral lists this ribosomal RNA (492 nucleotides) under uncultured bacterium. RNAcentral describes it as "partial 16S ribosomal RNA". It matches the Rfam family "Bacterial small subunit ribosomal RNA", at positions 29 to 507 of the family's 1533-position model. The record is from RNAcentral.
AGUGAACGCUGGCGGUAGGCCUAACACAUGCAAGUCGAACGGCAGCACAGUAAGAGCUUGCUCUUACGGGUGGCGAGUGGCGGACGGGUGAGGAAUACAUCGGAAUCUACUUUUUCGUGGGGGAUAACGUAGGGAAACUUACGCUAAUACCGCAUACGACCUACGGGUGAAAGCGGGGGAUCUUCGGACCUUGCGCGAUUGAAUGAGCCGAUGUCGGAUUAGCUAGUUGGCGGGGUAAAGGCCCACCAAGGCGACGAUCCGUAGCUGGUCUGAGAGGAUGAUCAGCCACACUGGAACUGAGACACGGUCCAGACUCCUACGGGAGGCAGCAGUGGGGAAUAUUGGACAAUGGGCGCAAGCCUGAUCCAGCCAUACCGCGUGGGUGAAGAAGGCCUUCGGGUUGUAAAGCCCUUUUGUUGGGAAAGAAAAGCAGCAGGCUAAUACCCCGCUGUUCUGACGGUACCCAAAGAAUAAGCACCGGCUAACUUCGUG